RNAcentral lists this ribosomal RNA (531 nucleotides) under Bifidobacterium breve. Its description in RNAcentral is "bacterial SSU rRNA". It matches the Rfam family "Bacterial small subunit ribosomal RNA", at positions 163 to 704 of the family's 1533-position model. Lineage: Bacteria; Bacillati; Actinomycetota; Actinomycetes; Bifidobacteriales; Bifidobacteriaceae. The record is from RNAcentral.
GUAAUGCCGGAUGCUCCAUCACACCGCAUGGUGUGUUGGGAAAGCCUUUGCGGCAUGGGAUGGGGUCGCGUCCUAUCAGCUUGAUGGCGGGGUAACGGCCCACCAUGGCUUCGACGGGUAGCCGGCCUGAGAGGGCGACCGGCCACAUUGGGACUGAGAUACGGCCCAGACUCCUACGGGAGGCAGCAGUGGGGAAUAUUGCACAAUGGGCGCAAGCCUGAUGCAGCGACGCCGCGUGAGGGAUGGAGGCCUUCGGGUUGUAAACCUCUUUUGUUAGGGAGCAAGGCACUUUGUGUUGAGUGUACCUUUCGAAUAAGCACCGGCUAACUACGUGCCAGCAGCCGCGGUAAUACGUAGGGUGCAAGCGUUAUCCGGAAUUAUUGGGCGUAAAGGGCUCGUAGGCGGUUCGUCGCGUCCGGUGUGAAAGUCCAUCGCUUAACGGUGGAUCCGCGCCGGGUACGGGCGGGCUUGAGUGCGGUAGGGGAGACUGGAAUUCCCGGUGUAACGGUGGAAUGUGUAGAUAUCGGAAAA